Long non-coding RNA from Tyto alba (common barn owl), 1197 nucleotides. RefSeq lists it as uncharacterized. Lineage: Eukaryota; Metazoa; Chordata; Aves; Strigiformes; Tytonidae. The record is from RefSeq and is a predicted model, not a curated record. The transcript is spliced from 5 exons.
GUUAACAUCACUGGGAGUCAAAAACCUAGGAAAAUGCAAGUUUAAACUUUAAGACAUAGCUGUUUACACCCAUAGGACUAAUACAACUUAAUUUCUGAGGAAAGAGGGAUGGAAGAACUGAUGAUGCAUUACAGGUCCACAUAGAAGAGAGAUGAAAUACACAAGUUCUUACACUGAAACCAUUCUAGCCUUGACUUCUCCACAACAUUUGGAGAAACGCAAGACUCCCUUCAAUAGGAGACUCUGCACAUGAUUGUUUACCUUAGAUGCUGCGCCAAUUCAUCACAAACCUACAGGAAUAAGAAGAGUUUCAAUUUUCUUACCAUUCUCUGUGAAACACCUCUUAAAAACAUGUCACUGGUAACGCUGUCACCAGUCAUGCUGCUGUGCCUGAAAUAGUCUCAUAACAUGUAAAGGAGAUGAUCUGGGACUUGUAUAAAGGUACCUGCAGAGAAACUAAAUAGCCUGGUGGCCUCACUAAGAUUACAGAGAAAACUAUCUAUGGACCUACGAAUCUCAAGAGAAGUAUAAGAACAGAAAGCAAAAAACAUCACAGCAAUAUCUUCACUGGCCUGCUUCCAGCACUGUCUUGGAACUACAUCUCUCCAGAAGCCCUCAGCUGAACUGUUGAUCAGAGAAAACAGCAGCUACACAACCACCCACAACUGGGAAGCAGAGAGAUGGGGAGAGGAAGUGACUGCUGAGCUGACCACAGCCACAGAACUAGAAACCAAACUGCAGAUUACCUGACUCUACUAUAGCACAUCCCCAUCAGAAGUAAGAAGGAAACUUUCAAAGAUGGAGAGAAUGAGAUGGGGAAAGAGGCUAGAGAAACACAGGAGGAAAGGCUGUAAAAAGACACAUAAAGCCAUGAAGUAAGUAUGAAACCGUUUGAAGUAUGAAAAAUAGGAGCAAUAGAAAAGGAAGUAUAUGGAAAGCAGAAAAGAUACAAAAAGGAAAAGGUGAGAGAAAUAAUUAUAUAGACAACUCUUAGAUUAGAAAAAAUAUUUUUACAGUAUUUUUUGUGUUACUUUAAUGACAGAAAAGUGAAAUUAAUUUAGGUCUACUUUGAGCUAUUUCAAACCAAUGUUGGUUUGGAGAUGAUUGUUAUAUUUAAGUGUUCUGGAUAAAUAUAUAUCAGGAUAUGAGUUAUAUAACAUGCAGACUGGAAAAAAAAAAAAACAAAACAACAAAACA